Molecule: ribosomal RNA, 497 nt
Filed under: uncultured bacterium
Lineage: Bacteria
Description: partial 16S ribosomal RNA
Rfam family: Bacterial small subunit ribosomal RNA
Source: RNAcentral
GAUGAACGCUGGCGGCGUGCCUAAUACAUGCAAGUCGAGCGAACAGACGAGGAGCUUGCUCCUCUGACGUUAGCGGCGGACGGGUGAGUAACACGUGGAUAACCUACCUAUAAGACUGGGAUAACGUCGGGAAACCGGAGCUAAUACCGGAUAAUAUAUUGAACCGCAUGGUUCAAUAGUGAAAGACGGUUUUGCUGUCACUUAUAGAUGGAUCCGCGCCGCAUUAGCUAGUUGGUAAGGUAACGGCUUACCAAGGCGACGAUGCGUAGCCGACCUGGGAGGGUGAUCGGCCACACUGGAACUGAGACACGGUCCAGACUCCUACGGGAGGCAGCAGUAGGGAAUCUUCCGCAAAGGGCGAAAGCCUGACGGAGCAACGCCGCGUGAGUGAUGAAGGUCUUCGGAUCGUAAAACUCUGUUAUUAGGGAAGAACAAAUGUGUAAGUAACUAUGCACGUCUUGACGGUACCUAAUCAGAAAGCCACGGCUAACUACGUG